ACAGGGAUUGCCCCAGUAACGGCGAGUGAAGCGGCAACAGCUCAAAUUUGAAAUCUGGCCCCCCGGCCCGAGUUGUAAUUUGCAGAGGAUGCUUUUGGUGAGGCACCUACCGAGUCCCCUGGAAUGGGGCGCCAUAGAGGGUGAGAGCCCCGUAUGGUAGGACGCCGAACCUCUGUAAAGCUCCUUCGACGAGUCGAGUAGUUUGGGAAUGCUGCUCUAAAUGGGAGGUAAAUUUCUUCUAAAGCUAAAUACCGGCCAGAGACCGAUAGCGCACAAGUAGAGUGAUCGAAAGAUGAAAAGCACUUUGAAAAGAGGGUUAAAAAGUACGUGAAAUUGUUGAAAGGGAAGCGCUUGUGACCAGACUUGCGCCGGGCGGAUCAUCCAGCGUUCUCGCUGGUGCACUCCGCCCGGUUCAGGCCAGCAUCGGUUUUCGCCGGGGGACAAAGGCUUCGGGAACGUGGCUCCUUUCGGGGAGUGUUAUAGCCCGUUGCGUAAUACCCCGGCGGGGACCGACGACCGCGCUUCGGCAAGGAUGCUGGCGUAAUGGUCAUCAGCGACCCGUCUUGAAACACGGACCGAGGAGUCAAGCAUUAGUGCGAGUGUUUGGGUGUAAAACCCGCACGCGUAAUGAAAGUGAACGUAGGUGAGAGCUUCGGCGCAUCAUCGACCGAUCCUGAUGUUUUCGGAAGGAUUUGAGUAGGAGCAUUAACGCUUGGACCCGAAAGAUGGUGAACUAUACUUGAAUAGGGUGAAGCCAGAGGAAACUCUGGUGGAGGCUCGCAGCGGUUCUGACGUGCAAAUCGAUCGUCAAAUUUGAGUAUAGGG
This 825-nucleotide ribosomal RNA is filed under the name Pyricularia oryzae. Its description in RNAcentral is "partial large subunit ribosomal RNA". It matches the Rfam family "Eukaryotic large subunit ribosomal RNA", at positions 68 to 922 of the family's 3401-position model. The record is from RNAcentral. Lineage: Eukaryota; Fungi; Ascomycota; Sordariomycetes; Magnaporthales; Pyriculariaceae.